This 383-nucleotide ribosomal RNA is filed under the name Lysinibacillus xylanilyticus. RNAcentral's name for it is "bacterial SSU rRNA". It matches the Rfam family "Bacterial small subunit ribosomal RNA", at positions 1 to 370 of the family's 1533-position model. Lineage: Bacteria; Bacillati; Bacillota; Bacilli; Caryophanales; Bacillaceae. The record is from RNAcentral.
CUUUUAUGGAGAGUUUGAUCCUGGCUCAGGACGAACGCUGGCGGCGUGCCUAAUACAUGCAAGUCGAGCGAACAGAGAAGGAGCUUGCUCCUUCGACGUUAGCGGCGGACGGGUGAGUAACACGUGGGCAACCUACCUUAUAGUUUGGGAUAACUCCGGGAAACCGGGGCUAAUACCGAAUAAUCUAUUUUACUUCAUGGUGAAAUACUGAAAGACGGUUUCGGCUGUCGCUAUAAGAUGGGCCCGCGGCGCAUUAGCUAGUUGGUGAGGUAACGGCUCACCAAGGCGACGAUGCGUAGCCGACCUGAGAGGGUGAUCGGCCACACUGGGACUGAGACACGGCCCAGACUCCUACGGGAGGCAGCAGUAGGGAAUCUUCCACA